Oryctolagus cuniculus (rabbit) is the source of this 89-nucleotide small nuclear RNA. Its record names the gene U2. It matches the Rfam family "U2 spliceosomal RNA". Rfam says of the family: U2 is a small nuclear RNA (snRNA) component of the spliceosome (involved in pre-mRNA splicing). Complementary binding between U2 snRNA (in an area lying towards the 5' end but 3' to hairpin I) and the branchpoint sequence (BPS) of the intron results the bulging out of an unpaired adenosine, on the BPS, which initiates a nucleophilic attack at the intronic 5' splice site, thus starting the first of two transesterification reactions that mediate splicing. NCBI's taxonomy places the organism in Eukaryota, Metazoa, Chordata, Mammalia, Lagomorpha, Leporidae. The record is from Ensembl.
AUCGCUUCUCGGCCUUUUGGCUAAGAUCAAGUGUAGAAAUAAAGUUUAUAAUGAAAAAUACAUUUAUUUUAGCAGUAAAAAAAACUGCU